This 408-nucleotide ribosomal RNA is filed under the name uncultured bacterium. RNAcentral's name for it is "partial 16S ribosomal RNA". It matches the Rfam family "Bacterial small subunit ribosomal RNA", at positions 28 to 526 of the family's 1533-position model. The record is from RNAcentral.
GACGAACGCUGGCGGCGUGCUUAACACAUGCAAGUCGAACGGAGUGGCGAACGGGUGAGUAACACGUGGGUGACCUGCCCUGCACUUAGGGAUAAGCCUGGGAAACUGGGUCUAAUACCGGAUAGUGUGGGAUGGGCCCGCGGCCGAUCAGCUUGUGGGUGGGGUAAUGGCCGACCAAGGCGGCGACGGGUAGCCGGCCUGAGAGGGUGGACGGCCACAUGGGGACUGAGACACGUCGCAGACACCUACGGGAGGCAGCAGUGGGGAAUAUUGCACAAUGGGCGGAAGCCUGAAGUCGCGACGCCGCGUGGGGGAUGACGGCCUUCGGGUUGUAAUCUCCUUUCACCAUCGACGCGGUAGAUGGAGAAGAAGGACCGGCUAACUACGGGCCAGCAGCCGCGGUAAUUC